CUCGAGGCCAGAUCUUUCCGGUUGAUCCCGCCGGACCUGACUGCUAUCGGAUUGAUACUAAGCCAUGCGAGUCUUUGUAGCAAUACAAGGCAGACGGCUCAGUAACACGUUGUCAAUCUACCCUAUGGACGGGGAUAACCUCGGGAAACUGAGAAUAAUACCCGAUAGAUCAUUAUGCCUGGAAUGGUUUAUGGUCGAAAUGAUUUAUCGCCGUAGGAUGGGACUGCGGUCUAUCAGCUUGUUGGUGAGGUAAUGGCCCACCAAGGCUAUAACAGAUACGGGCUCAGAGAGGAGAAGCCCGGAGAUGGGUACUGAGACACGGACCCAGGCCCUAUGGGGCGCAGCAGGCGAGAAAACUUUGCAAUGUGCGAAAGCACGACAAGGUUAAUCCGAGUGUUUUCUGCUAAAGAAAUCUUUUGUCAGUCCUAAAAACACUGAUGAAUAAGGGGUGGGCAAGUUCUGGUGUCAGCCGCCGCGGUAAAACCAGCACCUCAAGUGGUCAGGAGGAUUAUUGGGCCUAAAGCAUCCGUAGCCGGCCGUGUAAGUUUUCGGUUAAA
RNAcentral lists this ribosomal RNA (557 nucleotides) under uncultured archaeon. Its description in RNAcentral is "bacterial SSU rRNA". It matches the Rfam family "Archaeal small subunit ribosomal RNA", at positions 1 to 549 of the family's 1478-position model. The record is from RNAcentral.